Molecule: long non-coding RNA, 2390 nt
Organism: Globicephala melas (long-finned pilot whale)
Lineage: Eukaryota; Metazoa; Chordata; Mammalia; Artiodactyla; Delphinidae
Source: RefSeq, a predicted model, not a curated record
GCAGAACCCGGGUGCCGGCCAACCUCUGGGGGUGGGAAGAAUCCUGUGAUUUACGCUUAUGUCACGUGACGGCGGGGAGCUUGCUUGCGGCUUGGCCGCUGCGCCAGGAGCCCGGCAGUUCACAGGCAGAGAAUGAAAAUGUAAUUGUCUCCAGCGCAGCCACCCACUACCCGCCACACCUACAAAGAGCGGCAGGGCCUGGAGUGCUUCAGUGGUCCUGAGGAGGUAAAUAUCCUGCCCAUUUUACAGAUGAGACAUCUGAGGUUUCAAGAAUGCAGUGACUUGCCUGGAUCACACAGGAAGUGGCUUAGCCAGCCCAGGUUUGUCUUGUCAACAAAAAUUCAAUUAACAAUCAAAAAGGAAAAAGAGAAUUUUGUUCAAGCCAAACUGAGGGUUGUAACCCAAGAGAGAGACUCUCAGAAGCUCUGAGAACCAUUCUACCUGUUAGAAGUCAAAGGCACAGUCAUAUACAUUUCUAAGACAAAGGAUCAUACAUCAAAAUGACAUACUGACAUUUUACAUGAAGUUCAUCAAAGGCGUGUAGUUCAGGUAAGCACAAAGUGAGCAGGAGGUCACCAUGACCCCUUAAAGAGUUGGGAAAGAAUGCCAGUCUUCUAAGAAGUCACAUUGCUGGCAUCAGAAGAGAAGAAAAAAAAAUGAUCUCCACAGUCAAGUAGGCACUCCCAUCUUUGAGGAGGUCUGGUUAAUGCAAAAUGCAGAUGCACACUGCACACUGCACACUGCAGGGGAGGGAGGAGGCCCAAACUGACAGAGAGAGAAUUUUAAGUUAAAAUUUUCUUGUCCUGCCUUAAAAUGUAAAUUUUAUUUAAUCAGCCUGACCCCCAAGUCUAAGCUCUUGGGACCACCUGCUCCCACCUCUCCGGCUCCAUGGAGGUGGUGGGACUUGGGUUACAGAGGAUGAAGGAGGAGAAACCAGAGAUGGCUCUGAGCAGAGGUGGAGGGUGCAUGGCUCCUUGCAAAGCUCUGUAAUUAAUUUUGUUUUUGUAAUUUUGUUUUAUUUUAUUUUAUUUUAUUUUUUUGACCGCGCUGCACCGCAUACAGGAUCCUAGUUCCCGGACCAGGGAUAGAACCGCACCCCCUGCAGUGGAAGCAUGGAGUCUUAACUACUGGGCCGCCAGGGAAGUCCCUGUUUUACUGUUCUUAAAGAGAGCCCCCCAUAUGGUCAAAGCUUCAGGCGCUGGCUCAGAGGGUGUCUGGGAGAACAGUUGCCCCAUCAUUAGAUUGCAGAGUGUCACUUAGCAAUACCUUAACCCCCAUCCCAGCUCCUGACAGGGUGCCCUGAGGUCCUUCUCAUCAGAUGCACCCCUCUAGCACCAGUGUCUUGUAAAGCAGACCCUGAAAAGCUCUCAAUAGCCUGAGAAAAGCACGGAUGCCCGCCCCUCCCUAUUCAAACUGAACACAGGCUGUCUUUCUGGCCCCUCCGGCUUCUUGCCUCCUCUCCGUGCCCCUCCUCCUUCCCUCUCCUUUUGUCUACUGUCUUCCCAUCUCGCUUUUCCUCACUCGUCCCUCUGCCUCACAGCAGCUGCCUUCCCACCUUAUUCCACAGAGAGUCAGGGCCAAGAGCCUUCCCCGCCCUGGUACAGACUGAGCAGGACACUGAGCCUUGGGGGAACCAGGAGUCCAGCACUCAGGGUCCUGCCUUGUUGGGUCCCCGGCCAGUCACUUCUUCCCUUUGGACAUCAGUUUCCCCACUUCCCAUUUAUGCAUAACCUGGGUCCCGGGCUCCUUGCCCUGAAUCACACCGGCUGCCUCUCCCUCUCUCUGAGUCAGGAAGCAGGUAGACAAGGGGGUCCACCUUGGGAACCUGCCUCCCUUCUCUCUACCUGCCCACCCUGGAGGUAUCUCAGGUGCCGUCACGGGGUCAGCAGGGGAGGCAGGCUUUGGUCCUGGGUCUGAUUGUCCAGAGGCUCAAGGUUCACUGCCCAGACUUUUAGGGCAUCCCCAUGUGGGGUCCCUUAGUGGGGUCCUCUUAACCCCCAAAUCUUUCCCUCCCUCCCUUCCAAGCUGUGACCCUCCCCCAGCUGUUGAUAAGGCCCUCCUUAAAUGCAUCACAGCCUUGCCCUGCUUUGAGCAGAUGUUUAAUAUACGAAACAAAAAUAGCAGUUAUUUUGUGGAAUGGAUCCCCAACAAGCUGAAGCCAUCUGUUUGGGGCAACCCACCCUGGGGCCUAAAACUGCCUGCUGCUUUCCUUGGAAGAGCACAGCCAGCCCAAGGGCAGUCUGAGCACAUGUAUAAGCAGCUCUCUGCCCUGUUUUGUUGAAAGGCUGCAAACACCCCCUGUGCCCCUAGUCCUCCGGCUGAUGGGGCCUCACGGAGGAGGAGAGGAAGCAGGACUUUGCAUUCUGCAUCCUGGGUUACAGCUUGCUUUU